Molecule: long non-coding RNA, 1300 nt
Filed under: Papio anubis (olive baboon)
Lineage: Eukaryota; Metazoa; Chordata; Mammalia; Primates; Cercopithecidae
Description: lncRNA (ENSPANG00000045500.1)
Source: RNAcentral
AUGUUAGCAACUUCUGUCAAGAAAAGUUUGUGCUUUACAGGACAAAUCAACAACAGCAGAAAGUGCUACUCAGGGGGAAGGUGGCCUCAAGAAUCAGAGGUGAAAAGGAAUGUAAAGCUGUACUUCUCAAAGUGGUCUGAGAGUGGCCUCCAUUGCACACACCGUUGCUUCAUCGCAUGCCUCCAGCUGAACGAUCUGAAGUGCGAGGAGGUCAAGCGACCCCUCCAGGUAACACACAGUAAGUCAGAGAUUCAGGCCAAAUUCAGUUUUUGUGCCAGGGCUUUUGACAAGUUUCUAGGAGUGUCUGAGAAUAAAUGGUUAGCUAAAACUGAGUCUUUACACCUUUGUUUUAGAGCAAAGACAAAGGAUACCUUUUUUCUUAUUGAUGUUUUCAUUCAAUUCCAAUUUCUAAAUAAAAUAAUAAAAUUUCUAAAUAUAGUAAUUCAGACAUGACUUAUUAACUCUCCUCCAAAUAACUGAAUUUAUACUGCUAUCACAUUAGAACCCUAGCAGAAGACUUUACCUCUUGGAAUUUCUGGCCAAUUUGAUCUACUUUCGGCUGUCUCUCCUUAUUUUGAGCCAUCAUGUUCACUGUUGCUGCAUAUUCAUUCACCAAAAGUUUAUUAAGCAUCUAUUAUAGUCCAGGCACAAGUCUUGUCAUUAGCAUUUGCAGGACUCUGCACAAGGAUACUUAUAGUGGCUCAUAUGCCGUAUGUCUACAUGCCUAAUAGUUAUAAAACAAGUUGGCGAAAUAUUUGCUAAAAUUAGUUCUUUCUACCUUGACAAAAUACUUUGCAAGGCCAAUUUGAAAUUUAGAAUUCUCAAAUGCUUCAGCAUACUAUGCCAGAACCACAGUGCAAGGAGAACAUACUAGCAGCCACCAGCACCUAGGUACCAGUCUCCUGCAUCUGGCCCUCAGCCCAUCCGUCUUUUUUCUCCACUUAUGGCCACAUCCCAUAACAUGAUGGGCUUUGCACACAUGCCUUGAAUAUCCUGCCUUGCACAUUGAAGCUCAGCCACAGCUCCAUCUAUCAGGCCCCCUUGCACCAUUCUUUGUGGACCCCUGUCCUCCAAACUCUUUAGUCUGAUCUGACCUUAAACUUUCCAACCUAAUUGCAAACUUUUUUGUUUACAGUACGUUAUAUUAAACAAGUUAGUGCACAUUUUCAUUACAAUACCUCUCAGUCCCAAACUACUCUUUCUGUCUAAACUACUUUUUUCCAUCUCUGUCCACUUCAGUAUUCUAACUCAUCUCUCCGUCUCUUAGCUGUGACAGUACUCCAUGACUUUCACAUCAUAG